AUUCCAGCUCCAAUAGCGUAUAUUAAAGUUGUUGCAGUUAAAAAGCUCGUAGUUGAACUUCUGACUAUUGCGUAAGCCGGAUUCGUUCGCUCUCGUGAUAGUCAUCCGCUUGGGAACUCCGUUCGAACUUAACUGUUUGGCGGAAGGAACAGGCAUUUUACUUUGAAAAAAUUAGAGUGUUUCAGGCAGGCUAGCGCCGGGACACAUUAGCAUGGAAUAAUGGAAUAGGACUUUUUCCUCUUCUGUUGGUCUGAGGGGUUCGAGUAAUGAUUAAUAGGGAUAGUUGGGGGCAUUAGUACUUUGCUGUCAGAGGUGAAAUUCUCGGAUUUGCAAAAGACUAACUUAUGCGAAAGCAUUUGCCAAGGAUGUUUUCAUCA
RNAcentral lists this ribosomal RNA (377 nucleotides) under Choreotrichida sp. RNAcentral describes it as "partial small subunit ribosomal RNA". It matches the Rfam family "Eukaryotic small subunit ribosomal RNA", at positions 582 to 975 of the family's 1831-position model. Lineage: Eukaryota; Ciliophora; Spirotrichea; Choreotrichida. The record is from RNAcentral.